GUGGGUAACCUACCCUGUACACACGGAUAACAUACCGAAAGGUAUGCUAAUACGGGAUAAUAUAUUUGAGAGGCAUCUCUUAAAUAUCAAAGGUGAGCCGGUACAGGAUGGACCCGCGUCUGAUUAGCUAGUUGGUAAGGUAACGGCUUACCAAGGCGACGAUCAGUAGCCGACCUGAGAGGGUGAUCGGCCACAUUGGAACUGAGACA
This 209-nucleotide ribosomal RNA is filed under the name Clostridioides difficile. RNAcentral's name for it is "partial 16S ribosomal RNA". It matches the Rfam family "Bacterial small subunit ribosomal RNA", at positions 117 to 326 of the family's 1533-position model. Lineage: Bacteria; Bacillati; Bacillota; Clostridia; Peptostreptococcales; Peptostreptococcaceae. The record is from RNAcentral.